GAUGAACGCUAGCGGCAGGCCUAACACAUGCAAGUCGAGCGAGAAGCCUUUCGGGGCAGUAACCGGAGCACGGGUGCGUAACGAAAAUGCAGACUACCUUUCACACGCGUAUAGCACGAAGAAAUUUGGAUGAAUACCCCACAAUAUUGCUGGAUGGCAUCAUCUUAUAAUUAAACCUGCGGUGGUGAAAGCUGGGCAUGCGUCCUAUUAGCUAGUUGGACUGGUAACGGCAUCCCAAGGCUACGAUAGGUAGGCGUACUGAGAGGGAGAUCCCCCACACGGGGACUGGGACAGCGACCAGACUCCUACGAGACGCAGCAGAGUGGUAGAGUGGGCAACGGUCGGAAGACUGAAACAGCCAUGCCGCGUGCAAGAAGAAUGCCUUGUGGGUGGUAAACUGCUGUUAGAUGGGAAGAAUAAGGUGUACGUGUACAGUGAUGACGGUACCAUAUGAAUAAGCACCGGCUAACUCCGUG
Molecule: ribosomal RNA, 476 nt
Filed under: uncultured bacterium
Lineage: Bacteria
Description: partial 16S ribosomal RNA
Rfam family: Bacterial small subunit ribosomal RNA
Source: RNAcentral